Molecule: long non-coding RNA, 751 nt
Organism: Raphanus sativus (radish)
Lineage: Eukaryota; Viridiplantae; Streptophyta; Magnoliopsida; Brassicales; Brassicaceae
Exons: 3
Source: RefSeq, a predicted model, not a curated record
CCUAAUGAUCCUCGGAUGUGACUGACUGUUGAACUUCAUCGUCAUCGUUUCAGUUCUGCGCAAUUUCACCUCCUCUGCUCAUAUAUUUCAUAUAUUUUUGUAUGAUUCGUUAGGCAAAUGCAGUGCUGGGUGAAAUUGUACCAGGAAGUGAAGGAGCUGAGGGAAAUCACUGAUGAUGAUCGGUAGCUAUACUGGUUUAGGAAGAAGCUGUCAAAACAGAACAAGCACGCCAAAGAGCUUGAGGAAUCUCUGGGACUUUUGAGCGAGAAGCUGUGUAAAACUAACUGCAGAAGGUUACCGUGUUAGUGUGUGACAGAGAGGGAAGAUGCAGCAUGCGCAGAACAAAUAAGAGGGCUUAGGAGUUCUCUAGCUUCAUAGAGUUUCAAGAGAAAGAGAUGAAAACGUUUAUGGAGAAGAGGGAGGGGGAGAGGUAGAAGAAGAUAUAAUUCGAGGACAUGCUUGAGCUAGAGAGGGAAUUUGAUGUCAUUGGAGCUGUUCAUGAACAAGAACGACCUUCACGAUGCAGAUGAUGCACACUUGCUUUCAUGUUGUGCUUUUGGUAUCGAAUCUAAGGAGAUUUGAGGAAGACUAUCAUCCUCAAUUUUAGUAGCAAAUUCGGUAUAGAAAGCUGGUUAACCAAAGGAAGAAGAUGACCCGCAACUGCCAUUGCUGAAACCUCUGCUAAAAGAACAUGAGUUAUUUGUUCACUGCAAGUACGUCUCAGUAGAUUGAAAGAAGUCUCAGAAUUUUU